CAAAAUCAAUCCAAAUGGAAUUCAAAUGAUUUAAAACAGGAGUGAGUGUAAAAUAAAAGGUUCCACUUUUGAAGAGACUUAUUCACACUUCAUCCUUCAUCAGAAAAAAACUGGAAAACCCUUAAGUUAUCACAGGAAGGAUUGAUGGCAGCAUUCUACUUAAGGUCCAACAUUUACUUUAAUUUAUUCGCAUUGUGUGGGCCUCUCAGAUAAGGCCAGGUUUAUUGCCCAUCCUAAACACCAUUGAACCAUCUUGAAUACAGCUGAAUGGCUUGUUUAGACAUUUUGGAUGAUGAAAAGGAAAAUAAGCUAUUUCCUCGAAGAACAAGUAUGCGUUGACAGUAUGAGAGGUGAACAUGGACAUGUACUAAUAUGGUUGGAUAAUAUUAUCAUGUGUGUUAGUUUGAACAUGAUUGGAUAAUAUAGUCAUGGGGUACCACCUUGGAAUAUGAGCUGUGCAAACAAA
This is a non-coding RNA of Chiloscyllium plagiosum (whitespotted bambooshark), 466 nucleotides long. The record is from RefSeq and is a predicted model, not a curated record. Lineage: Eukaryota; Metazoa; Chordata; Chondrichthyes; Orectolobiformes; Hemiscylliidae.